This 1450-nucleotide long non-coding RNA is filed under the name Suricata suricatta (meerkat). RNAcentral describes it as "lncRNA (ENSSSUG00005013921.1)". Lineage: Eukaryota; Metazoa; Chordata; Mammalia; Carnivora; Herpestidae. The record is from RNAcentral.
AUGAAGGGGGGAACCAGCCUUCCAGUGAGCCUCCCGGCCGGACCCUUUCCCAUUUGGCCAGGAACUACAGGACAAGCGACAGCUUCACGGGGACAGCAUGAGGAGCAAGCGAGACACGGCAGGUCCAGGCCCUGCACAGAGCCGGACCCCGGCCUUGCUGCUGCUGUUUCUGUUGUAAAGGACACAAAGCGCCUGGCCCGGGCCGGACGUGGUAUUGGGGUUGUGCUCGGGCGGUCCCUGAGGACAACCCGGGGCUCCCUGGGGCCCCUCGCCUCCAGCCCAGUGAGGCAGGCCUGCGCCGUGGGGGGAAGUGUAACCGUUUGGGUGGUGAGCGGUGCCUCUUUCAGUUCCUGGGCCUAUUUUUAAGGCCUGUGGGUUCCGGCCUCUGUCCGUUUCUGGGGCCAGAGGGACCUGCGAGGGUGCCGUGCGGCAUCUUGGGAAUGAGGACUCUGGACGUCACACUUCAAGGAGACCGAGGAACGGGGGCCCCUGGGGGGCUCAGCCCGUGGAGCGUCCGACUUUGGCUCUGGUCAUGAUCUCGCGGUUCAUGAGUUUGAGCCCCGAGUCGGGCUCGCUGCUGUCAGCACAGAGCCCGCUUCGGACCCUCUGUCCCUACCUGUCUCUGCCCGUCCCCUUCCUGUGCUCGCUCGCUCUCUCUCAAAAAUAAAUCAACAUUAAAAAUUAAUGAAGAGACCAGGGGUCACCGCUGCAGGUGUCUCUGCAAGGUGACGGUGUGCGGAGUUGUGUGGCACCGUGGCCUGCCCAGGGGGCCUGCUGUGUCCCCCCAUGGCCGUGUGCGCCUCCUUGCGCUUGCCGGGCAGCCUCGGGGAUGCCUGCUGAGCCGUGAGGCCGCCCAGGAGAAACCCCACAACCAGCCUCAGGCCCCCAAAACAAAAAUUUGUUUUUUCCAGUGAAAAAGUGUUCCAUGUACAUUAUAGAAACUGGAAAAUUUAGGGGCGUCCGACUUCAGCUCAGGUCAUGAUCUCUUGGUUAGUGAGUUCGAGCCCCGCGUCGGGCUCGGUGCUGACAGCUCAGAGCCUGGAGCCUGCUUUGGAUUCUGUGUCUCCCUCUCUCUCUGCCCCUCCCUCACUCAUGCUCUCUCUUUGUCUCAAAAAUGAAUAAACGUUAAAAAAAAGAAUUAGAAAAAGAAACUAGAAAAUUUAAGAGAAUGGGAGAAAAUGGUUCCAAUCACACAGAGGCGACUAUUAACUUUGCAAAGGUUUGCUUUCCAAUCUUUGUAAAGCCUUUUUCAGGAACCCUUGAUAUUCUAGACGUGAAGUUUCUUAGUCAUGUUCUCUUACUCAAAACUCCUGAAACAUCUUCCACGUUGUUCAAACUAAACAUCAUUUAGAGGACCGCAAGGUAGUGGGCUGGAUUUGCCCUCGUUCCCUGAAUUGGUCUUACCGUGCGGGAAACUUGGCUCAGAUCCAGGUUUUCAGCGCGCCUCCUG